RNAcentral lists this ribosomal RNA (527 nucleotides) under uncultured soil bacterium. RNAcentral's name for it is "bacterial SSU rRNA". It matches the Rfam family "Bacterial small subunit ribosomal RNA", at positions 355 to 898 of the family's 1533-position model. The record is from RNAcentral.
UGGGGAAUUUUGCGCAAUGGGGGAAACCCUGACGCAGCAACGCCGCGUGGAGGAUGAAGCCCCUUGGGGCGUAAACUCCUUUCGACCAAGACGAUAAUGACGGUACUGGUGGAAGAAGCACCGGCUAACUCUGUGCCAGCAGCCGCGGUAAUACAGAGGGUGCGAGCGUUGUUCGGAAUUAUUGGGCGUAAAGGGCGCGUAGGCGGUGCCACAAGUCACCUGUGAAAUCCCCGGGCUUAACCCGGGGCCUGCAGGCGAAACUGUGGCGCUGGAGUAUGGGAGAGGUGCGUGGAAUUCCCGGUGUAGCGGUGAAAUGCGUAGAUAUCAGGAGGAACACCUGUGGCGAAAGCGGCGCACUGGACCAUAACUGACGCUGAGGCGCGAAAGCUAGGGGAGCAAACAGGAUUAGAUACCCUGGUAGUCCUAGCCCUAAACGAUGGAUGCUUGGUGUGGCCGGUACCCAAUCCGGCUGUGCCGAAGCUAACGCGAUAAGCAUCCCGCCUGGGGAGUACGGUCGCAAGGCUGAA